This 393-nucleotide ribosomal RNA is filed under the name uncultured bacterium. RNAcentral describes it as "partial 16S ribosomal RNA". It matches the Rfam family "Bacterial small subunit ribosomal RNA", at positions 523 to 918 of the family's 1533-position model. The record is from RNAcentral.
AUACGGAGGAUGCGAGCGUUAUCCGGAUUUAUUGGGUUUAAAGGGUGCGUAGGCGGAAGGCUAAGUCAGCGGUGAAACGCAGGUGCUCAACACCUGACCUGCCGUUGAGACUGGUUUUCUGGAAUGCGGAUGCUGUGGGAGGAAUGUGUGGUGUAGCGGUGAAAUGCAUAGAUAUCACACAGAACACCGAUUGCGAAGGCAUCUCACAAAUCCGCAAUUGACGCUGAGGCACGAAGGUGCGGGGAUCGAACAGGAUUAGAUACCCUGGUAGUCCGCACAGUAAACGAUGAUGACUCGCUGCCGGCGAUAGACAGUCGGUGGCCAAGCGAAAGCGGUAAGUCAUCCACCUGGGGAGUACGACCGCAAGGUUGAAACUCAAAGGAAUUGACGGGG